AAUCAACGCUGGCGGCGUGCCUAACACAUGCAAGUCGAACGCGAGAGGGGCUUCGGCCCCGAUUGAGUGGCGAACGGGUGAGUAACGCGUGGGUGACCUACCUUCGAGUGGGGGAGUAACGUCCCGAAAGGGACGCUAAUACCGCAUAACAUCCUGCUUUUGAAUGGGUGGAGAUCAAAGCCGGGGAUCGCAAGACCUGGCGCUUGAUGAGGGGCCCGCGUCUGAUUAGCUAGNGGUGAGGUAACGGCCCACCAAGGCAACGAUCAGUAUCCGGCCUGAGAGGGCGGACGGACACACUGGGACUGAGACACGGCCCAGACUCCUACGGGAGGCAGCAGUGGGGAAUUNUUCGCAAUGGGCGCAAGCCUGACGACGCAACGCCGCGUGGAGGAUGAAGGUCUUCGGAUUGUAAACUCCUGUUGCCCGGGACGAAUGGCUCCGACCUAACACGUCGGAGUGUGACGGUACCGGGUGAGGAAGCCCCGGCUAACUCUGUGCCAGCCGCCGCGGUAAG
This 514-nucleotide ribosomal RNA is filed under the name uncultured bacterium. RNAcentral's name for it is "bacterial SSU rRNA". It matches the Rfam family "Bacterial small subunit ribosomal RNA", at positions 28 to 524 of the family's 1533-position model. The record is from RNAcentral.